CCUACGGGCGGCUGCAGUGGGGAAUAUUGCACAAUGGGCGCAAGCCUGAUGCAGCCAUGCCGCGUGUGUGAAGAAGGCCUUCGGGUUGUAAAGCACUUUCAGCGGGGAGGAAGGCGGUGAGGUUAAUAACCUCAUCGAUUGACGUUACCCGCAGAAGAAGCACCGGCUAACUCCGUGCCAGCAGCCGCGGUAAUACGGAGGGGGCAAGCGUUAAUCGGAAUUACUGGGCGUAAAGCGCACGCAGGCGGUCUGUCAAGUCGGAUGUGAAAUCCCCGGGCUCAACCUGGGAACUGCAUUCGAAACUGGCAGGCUAGAGUCUUGUAGAGGGGGGUAGAAUUCCAGGUGUAGCGGUGAAAUGCGUAGAGAUCUGGGGGAAUACCGGUGGCGAAGGCGGCCCCCUGGACAAAGACUGACGCUCAGGUGCGAAAGCGUGGGGAGCAAACAGGAUUAGAUACCCGUGUAGUC
This 465-nucleotide ribosomal RNA is filed under the name uncultured Klebsiella sp. RNAcentral's name for it is "bacterial SSU rRNA". It matches the Rfam family "Bacterial small subunit ribosomal RNA", at positions 338 to 795 of the family's 1533-position model. Lineage: Bacteria; Pseudomonadati; Pseudomonadota; Gammaproteobacteria; Enterobacterales; Enterobacteriaceae. The record is from RNAcentral.